GAUGAACGUUGGCGGCGUGCCUAAUACAUGCAAGUCGAGCGAACAGACGCGAAGCUUGCUCCUCUGACGGUAGCGACGGACGGGUGAGUAAGACGUGGUGAACCUACCUAUAAGACUGGAGUAACUGCGGGAAACCGGAGCUAAUACCGGAUAAUAUCUUGAACCGCAUUGUUCAAUAUUGAAAGACGGUUUUGCUGUCACUUAUAGAUGGAUCCGCGCCGCAUUAGCUAGUUGGUAAGGUAACGGCUUACCAAGGCAACGAUGCGUAGCCGACCUGAGAGGGUGAUCAGCCACACUGGAACUGAGACACGGUCCAGACUCCUACGGGCGGUCGUAGCAGGGAAUCCUCCGUACUGGGCUAAAGCCUGAUCCAGCCACGGCCCGGGCGUAAUGAAGAAGUUCGAACUGUAAACAGCCAUUCUUAGAGACGAAAAACUGUGGAAGUAAGGAUGCAUGUAUUGCCGUUACAAAAUCAGCAAGACACGGCUAACUACGUG
This 497-nucleotide ribosomal RNA is filed under the name uncultured bacterium. Its description in RNAcentral is "partial 16S ribosomal RNA". It matches the Rfam family "Bacterial small subunit ribosomal RNA", at positions 28 to 507 of the family's 1533-position model. The record is from RNAcentral.